Molecule: long non-coding RNA, 902 nt
Organism: Daphnia pulicaria
Lineage: Eukaryota; Metazoa; Arthropoda; Branchiopoda; Diplostraca; Daphniidae
Exons: 5
Source: RefSeq, a predicted model, not a curated record
AUUAACUAAUUCAAUACCACAUUGGUUAAAGAAAAGGGGAACUGUUCUUGAAGAGUUCCUGUAGUUGAAAGUUCCUUAGUAUUCUCUUUGCUCGCAUUUUGUUUUUAACCACUACACUGUUGUUGAAUGCUGUUUGAUUAUCGAUAGUGUUUUGUGAUGCAGAAUAAAAUUACAGAAAUGACCAACAACAGUGAAGAACAACAGACCUCAUCUUCCACCGAGGAGACCAUCAUAGAGGUGGUAAUUCAACCACCAACAACAGAGGCCAAGGUUGAAUGUGAUGCUCCCCCCGCUGUGAUCACCACUCAGCCAGCACAGUCUAAAAUAAAAUUACAGAAAUGACCAACAGCAGUGAAGAACAACAGACCUCAUCUUCCACCAAGGAGACCAUCAUAGAGGUGGUAAUUCAACCACCAACCACAGAGGCCAAGGUUGAAUGUGAUGUUCCCCCCGCUGUGAUCACCACUCAGCCAGCACAGUCUAAAUGCAGAAUAAAAUUACAGAAAUGACCAACAACAGUGAAGAACAACAGACCUCAUCUUCCACCGAGGAGACCAUCAUAGAGGUGGUAAUUCAACCACCAACAACAGAGGCCAAGGUUGAAUGUGAUGCUCCCCCCGCUGUGAUCACCACUCAGCCAGCACAGUCUAAAUGCAGAAUAAAAUUACAGAAAUGACCAACAACAGUGAAGAACAACAGACCUCAUCUUCCACCAAGGAGACCAUCAUAGAGGUGGUCAUUCAACCACCAACAACAGAGGCCAAGGUUGAAUGUGAUGCUCCCCCCGCUGUGAUCACCACUCAGCCAGCACAGUCGAUGCAGAAUAAAAUUACAGAAAUGACCAACAACAGUGAAGAACAACAGACCUCAUCUUCCACCAAGGAGACCAUCAUAGAGGUGGU